AGAUGUUAUUUAUCUGCAAAUGUGUCCUAUUGGCCGGGUCGUGUGGUAGUUCGCUGUUGAUAUUUGGGAACGCAAUAAGGAAUUGAUCCGCAAGCGUACGGAUAUCGGUGAGCACUUCACCCGGAAAAUUAUCCAGAGUAUUGUAUUUAUUUUUUUACCACUUGGAGAAAGAGUGCAUCUGACUAACCAGUCUAUUACUACUAACCUUUAGGCACAAAGAAUGUCUUUCGAUGUGAGUGAUAAAUAGAGAAGAUUGCAACCGUAGUCUCCUUCUAACCUUGGUAAGGAUGAUCUAUUGUUCUAAUGGGGAGGCUAACGGAAUCUAGACACCACAAAGGAUGUUCAACCCGCACCUAUAAACCCUAUCCUUCCUGCUAACGAGAUGUGAUUUACAAAGGUAGCUCGGAAUUGUCACGUUCCUCACUACUACCACGGUCCAGCUAGUCAGGGAAUAUCUAUGAGUACCC
RNAcentral lists this long non-coding RNA (467 nucleotides) under Sorghum bicolor (sorghum). RNAcentral describes it as "long non-coding RNA (SBIC_LNC016509)". The record is from RNAcentral. Lineage: Eukaryota; Viridiplantae; Streptophyta; Magnoliopsida; Poales; Poaceae.